GAGGUAUUCCAGGACCGGCAGUCCUGUUCCAUGAGCUCCAGCUGACCUUGCUUGAGCAGGGAGGUUGGACCAAACGAGCCACUGUGGUCCCUCCCACCCUUACCCAUCCUGUGAUCUGGGCGAGGAAGUGCUGUUGAUUACUACUGGUUUCCAUUCACCACGGAAUUCUCCAGUGAGGAGCAGCUGCUGCUGUGUCAUAAAUGAGACAGUCUUUGCUGUGAAAGGAUUGUGGUACAAUGCAGCUAAAGAAUGGAAUAAAGUUAAGACCGUUUUCUCUUUUCCUUCCUCUUGCCAGUACGACCUUAGAAAGCACACACCACGAGUCGUUUCUGGAUUAGAGGUCCUCAUGCCAUGGAGUUCAGGAGCUUCCCCAGCUGUCCUUUGCUACAUGCACAGCGUGGCUUUGUGCUGGGCUACGAGGACAGUCUGUACAGUCACAGUCACGGCUCAGGACUGAGUGCUACCACAUUAUGGCCACGAGGAGAAGUGACUAGAUUUGGGUUUUUUCCCCUCUCCUCCCAAAGAUCUUCCAAGACACCCUGCCUUUAUUUAUAUGGAUAUACUGGGAUAAAGUCUUCCAGCAGCCUCCACUGCGAGACUGAGGAGCUGUUAUAUAAAUGAAUUGCAGCUGUUUGAACUAUCAAACCCUCUUGUUGUUAAACUAUUUGGUUAAUUCAGAGAUCCUCUGUUCUGAAGAUGGUGUUUUCCAUUCCUAUUCCUACAGUCAUCUAAGUUAUUUAGGACAUAUUUUUAAUUAUUCAAAACACAUUUCUUAGUUUUUUCAGUUCUCAUAUGAAGCAGCUGGCUUCAGUUAGCUGAACAUUAUUGUUAAGCCUCACUUUAAAGUACUUCAAAAUUCUUGUAUAAAUUGCCUUACACUCUUAAUUAAGGGGAAGGAUGUGGGUGUUACAUAAAAAAAAAACCCUGCUCCCUAUACCAUGUCGCAGUACUAAACCAGAAUCCCCCAAAUGCAUCCUGCUUGGGGCUAUCAGGCUGAAUGGAGCUGACAUUAACAAUUAGACAUUCUCAGAAAUCACUAAUUUGGUUAAGAGACCACCUGGGAAUCCCAUCUUACCCUCCAAGCCAAGGCUAGGAAUGUGUCAAAAUACUAGACCACUGAAGUGGAGACACAAGCUCCCUCUGGACUUCUUGCCACUGCAGAUACAAACUACAAGGAAAAGAGGAGACACUUGCCUAAAAUCUAAAUGGUAAGUCUUAGUAAAAUGUACAAAUGUGUCUUUAA
Molecule: long non-coding RNA, 1243 nt
Organism: Empidonax traillii (willow flycatcher)
Lineage: Eukaryota; Metazoa; Chordata; Aves; Passeriformes; Tyrannidae
Exons: 2
Source: RefSeq, a predicted model, not a curated record